ACCAUUCAGGAGUACCAAACCAGGUUUGAAAGGUUAUCUAAUCAAACUCGUGAUUGGUCUGAAAAAUAGCUAUUGGGGACCUUUAUUGAGGGCUUAAAGCCGGAGAUCCGAGGAGAAGCUAAGGCGCGACAACCGUACACGCUUAUGGCAGCCAUCUCUUUCGCACGACUUCAAGAGGAGCGAUUGAACCAUGAAGCCCGAAGGACAAGGAUCACUCCACGACCUACAGGGUUUAGGGUUUAGGGUUUAGGGUUUAGGGUUUAGGGUAAGGGAUUGAGGUCGAAUUUUCAUAUUUUGUUUGAUGGCCUAUUGAGAUUUGGGAUAGAGUAUGUGUUUCAAUAAUCAUAAUCACAGACAUCCACGCCUUAAUAAUCAUAAUCAUAAUAUCAAUUAGUCUUGCUUCAUCUUCUCGUGGGUCCCGUAAUCACCUCCAUUCUCUCGUCUUACCUCCUCGUAUAAUUACAUCAUAAUCACAGACAUCCACGCCUUAAUAAUCAUAAUUCCAUCAUUGAUAUUAUGAUUAUUAUAAAAAAAUUAUGAUUUGAAUAUUAUGAGAAAUGGGCAAGACUCAUUGAUAUUGAUGUACUCUAUCUAUGUUUAAUCAGUUCUCGUUCAUCAAAUUUGAAAAGG
This 630-nucleotide long non-coding RNA is filed under the name Musa acuminata (dwarf banana). Its description in RNAcentral is "long non-coding RNA (MACU_LNC004638)". The record is from RNAcentral. Lineage: Eukaryota; Viridiplantae; Streptophyta; Magnoliopsida; Zingiberales; Musaceae.